CUUUAUAUCCCACAUAGUUCAGAUGAAAC
Molecule: non-coding RNA, 29 nt
Organism: Candidatus Magnetobacterium bavaricum
Lineage: Bacteria; Pseudomonadati; Nitrospirota; Thermodesulfovibrionia; Thermodesulfovibrionales; Magnetobacteriaceae (SeqCode)
Source: Rfam